CAUGCUAUGGAUGAUACAGAGCUUCUAUCCGAGCAUGUCAUCUCCGAACCUUUUGAGCCAUCGCCAUUUAUGCCUGGUGGUUCAAAAGGAUUUGAUGACUUAAAUGCAAACCAGCAAAGAGAGCAAAAUAAUCCUGAUCCGUCCGCUCCAUCUACUACUAAUGAAAAGGAGAACAACACUAGGGAAAAUAAUGUGGCUAAAAU
RNAcentral lists this unclassified non-coding RNA (203 nucleotides) under Hevea brasiliensis (rubber tree). The record is from RNAcentral. Lineage: Eukaryota; Viridiplantae; Streptophyta; Magnoliopsida; Malpighiales; Euphorbiaceae.